RNAcentral lists this ribosomal RNA (457 nucleotides) under uncultured bacterium. RNAcentral describes it as "bacterial SSU rRNA". It matches the Rfam family "Bacterial small subunit ribosomal RNA", at positions 30 to 481 of the family's 1533-position model. The record is from RNAcentral.
AUUGAACGCUGGCGGCAGGCCUAACACAUGCAAGUCGAACGGUAACAGGAAGCAGCUUGCUGCUUUGCUGACGAGUGGCGGACGGGUGAGUAAUGUCUGGGAAACUGCCUGAUGGAGGGGGAUAACUACUGGAAACGGUAGCUAAUACCGCAUAACGUCGCAAGACCAAAGAGGGGGACCUUCGGGCCUCUUGCCAUCGGAUGUGCCCAGAUGGGAUUAGCUAGUAGGUGGGUAACGGCUCACCUAGGCGACGAUCCCUAGCUGGUCUGAGAGGAUGGACCAGCCACACUGGAACUGAGACACGGUCCAGACUCCUACGGGAGGCAGCAGUGGGGAAUAUUGCACAAUGGGCGCAAAGCCUGAUGCAGCCAUGCCGCGUGUAUGAAGAAGGCCUUCGGUUGUAAAGUACUUUCAGCGGGAGGAGGAGUAAGUAAUACUUACUCAUUGACGUUACCCG